RNAcentral lists this transfer RNA (95 nucleotides) under Acidobacteriota bacterium. RNAcentral describes it as "Acidobacteria bacterium tRNA-Ser". It matches the Rfam family "tRNA". Rfam says of the family: Transfer RNA (tRNA) molecules are approximately 80 nucleotides in length. The record is from RNAcentral. Lineage: Bacteria; Pseudomonadati; Acidobacteriota.
GGAGAGAUGGCCGAGCACGGCUGAAGGCGCUCGCCUGCUAAGCGAGUGUAGGGGGUCAACUCCUACCGAGGGUUCGAAUCCCUCUCUCUCCGCCA